GAAAAGUUGAAGGGAGAAAAUGAAAUGAAGAGGAGAAAAUGACCAGAAGACUGGUCUGGUCAAGGGAGAUCUGAACAUCUCUGCCUUGGUUUGAGGUCCAAACAUGAUCAUCAUAUCCUCAUCCAAUCUUGUAGUUGUCAUAACUGCUUGGACCCUCAAGAUUGUUUCUGCUAACUCGUAAGUCAAUAUAAAUCCAUUUAUUAGAAGAGUUU
This 212-nucleotide unclassified non-coding RNA is filed under the name Hevea brasiliensis (rubber tree). Lineage: Eukaryota; Viridiplantae; Streptophyta; Magnoliopsida; Malpighiales; Euphorbiaceae. The record is from RNAcentral.